RNAcentral lists this microRNA precursor (155 nucleotides) under Amborella trichopoda. Its description in RNAcentral is "MIR8565 microRNA precursor family". It matches the Rfam family "MIR8565 microRNA precursor family". The record is from Rfam by way of RNAcentral. Lineage: Eukaryota; Viridiplantae; Streptophyta; Magnoliopsida; Amborellales; Amborellaceae.
CCCCCAUCCAUGUGUGUAGGACUCCAAAGGAUCACCAUUAAAUUUGGUAUGGAUCCCUAGAAAAGUCAUCAUAUGGGUGUGAGACUUGAUUUUUUUAGAGAUCCGUGCCAAAUUUAAUAGUGAUCUUUUUGGGGUCCUACACACAUGAGUGGGAG